RNAcentral lists this ribosomal RNA (433 nucleotides) under uncultured bacterium. RNAcentral describes it as "partial 16S ribosomal RNA". It matches the Rfam family "Bacterial small subunit ribosomal RNA", at positions 29 to 507 of the family's 1533-position model. The record is from RNAcentral.
AACGAACGCUGGCGGCAUGCCUAACACAUGCAAGUCGAACGAGACCUUCGGGUCUAGUGGCGCACGGGUGCGUAACGCGUGGGAACCUGCCCUUAGGUUCGGAAUAACUCCCCGAAAGGGGUGCUAAUACCGGAUAAUGUCUUCGGACCAAAGAUUUAUCGCCUUUGGAUGGGCCCGCGUUGGAUUAGCUAGUUGGUAGGGUAAAAGCCUACCAAGGCGACGAUCCAUAGCUGGUCUGAGAGGAUGAUCAGCCACACUGGGACUGAGACACGGCCCAGACUCCUACGGGAGGCAGCAGUGGGGAAUAUUGGACAAUGGGCGAAAGCCUGAUCCAGCAAUGCCGCGUGAGUGAUGAAGGCCUUAGGGUUGUAAAGCUCUUUUACCCGGGAGGAUAAUGACGGUACCGGGAGAAUAAGCUCCGGCUAACUCCGUG